RNAcentral lists this ribosomal RNA (254 nucleotides) under uncultured bacterium. RNAcentral's name for it is "partial 16S ribosomal RNA". It matches the Rfam family "Bacterial small subunit ribosomal RNA", at positions 524 to 776 of the family's 1533-position model. The record is from RNAcentral.
UACGUAGGGGGCAAGCGUUGUCCGGAUUUACUGGGCGUAAAGGGCGCGUAGGCGGUCAGCACAAGUCAGUUGUGAAAUCUCCGGGCUUAACCCGGAAAGGUCAACUGAUACUGUGCGACUAGAGUGCGGAAGGGGCAACUGGAAUUCUCGGUGUAGCGGUGGAAUGCGUAGAUAUCGAGAGGAACACCUGCGGCGAAGGCGGGUUGCUGGGCCGACACUGACGCUGAUGCGCGAAAGCCAGGGGAGCGAACGGG